Molecule: long non-coding RNA, 1020 nt
Organism: Bufo bufo (common toad)
Lineage: Eukaryota; Metazoa; Chordata; Amphibia; Anura; Bufonidae
Exons: 3
Source: RefSeq, a predicted model, not a curated record
GUUUCCUACUCAACGGUGGACACGCGGCGUCACGACACAUGUUUACAUAUACAUACACCAUAUAUAUGCAACACACAUACACAUAAGUACACUGUAUACAUGGCACACAUACAUAAAUACACUAUAUAUACACUACACACAUACCACCCAACUAAGGAGCUAAACUAUCUAACGGCGCACAAAGCAAUGGAAAUGAACAUCUGCUGCUGCCGCCAGAGCACCGGAUCGGGACUCAGCCGGUAACACGGUUCUCCGAUCCAGUUGUAAUUUUAACAACCGGAUCUGGAGAACUGGCUGAAUCCCAUGCCUGGGUAUGCCCCCUUGUUUGCCAAGUCUUUUUGUUCUGUCUACCCAGAGGUCUUGUCCAUAAAAUUGCCGCUGAUGGAGGGUCAUGUGACCAGGCAAAUCACCUCCAUGUGAUGUCUCAUGUGUUCAAAUACACUGAUCUGCCAUCCUCACUUGUACUGUUGGGAGUUCAGUGCUGUGUGUUUAAAUCGAGGAGGCCGAGUGAUGUGUCUGGUCACAUGACCCUCCAUCAGCGGCCAUCUUAUGGACAGGACCUCUAUGUGGACAGCACAGCAAGGGGACAUGGAUUAUAAUAUAUAGCAAACGGCACAGAAUAUUAGUAAAUGUUAUAUAGUCAUCUUACAUACACAUUGGUCACAAGUAGCCAGGAAGUGGUCAACCCCUUGAAUUUUAAUUUUCCUUCCUCUUAACCUGUGUUCAUUCUUAUGGUUCUUUGAAGUGUAAUAAUUAACUAUAGCAUUGCCAAGUGCCCCCCUCCCAUUUUGCAGCUUUACCUUUUAAGCACUUGUUCUCUUUUUAAAUAUCUGUAAUGAUUUUAUUGCCUAAAACAAACAAAUUGGGCCAUGCUACGGCACUAAGAGCCCUCUCUCUCUCUGUUGCAUACCUACAACCCACAGCAUACCCUGCCCUGAUUUUUCACUGCAUUAGGAUCUGUUUCCAAUGCAGUGGAGGUCAAUCUGGAACAAUAUUGGGGCCACAAAUGAGGUUCUCGAU